AAGUCGUAACAAGGUUUCCGUAGGUGAACCUGCGGAAGGAUCAUUACCGAAUUGUUGACACGAGUUGUUGCUGGCCCCCAAAGGGGGGCAUUGUGCACACUCUGUUUACGCAUCCACUGACACCUGUGCACCCUCUGUAGCUCCAUGGUCUGGGGGACUCUGUCUCUCGGCUGUGGUUCUAUGUCUUUACACACACGCUGUAAUGAAGUCUUGUGGGAUGUAUGUCGCGUUCGACGCGAUACGAUAAAUACAACUUUCAGCAACGGAUCUCUUGGCUCUCGCAUCGAUGAAGAACGCAGCGAAAUGCGAUAAGUAAUGUGAAUUGCAGAAUUCAGUGAAUCAUCGAAUCUUUGAACGCACCUUGCGCCCUUUGGCCGUUCCAAAGGGCAUGCCUGUUUGAGUAUCAUGAACACCUCAACUCUCAUGGGUUUGCCAUGAUGAGCUUGGAGUUUUGGGGGUUUUGCUGGCCUAUCGUCGGCUCCUCUCAAACGAAUCAGCUUGCCGGUGUUUGGUGGCGUCAGAGGUGUGAUAACUAUCUGCGCUUGUGGUGUUCCACCAGGUGAAAUUCAGCGAUGGAGGUUUGCUGGAGCUCACAAAUGUGUCACCCUUUGGCGGGGGACGCUGUUUUUGAACGUUUGAUCUCAAAUCAGGUAGGACUACCCGCUGAACUUAA
This 673-nucleotide ribosomal RNA is filed under the name Thelephora pseudoterrestris. RNAcentral describes it as "eukaryotic LSU rRNA". The stretch from base 252 to 406 matches the Rfam family "5.8S ribosomal RNA". Lineage: Eukaryota; Fungi; Basidiomycota; Agaricomycetes; Thelephorales; Thelephoraceae. The record is from RNAcentral.